UACGAAGGGGGCUAGCGUUGCUCGGAAUCACUGGGCGUAAAGCGCACGUAGGCGGUUUUCUAAGUCAGGGGUGAAAUCCUGGAGCUCAACUCCAGAACUGCCUUUGAUACUGGGAAUCUCGAGUCCGGGAGAGGUGAGUGGAACUGCGAGUGUAGAGGUGAAAUUCGUAGAUAUUCGCAAGAACACCAGUGGCGAAGGCGGCUCACUGGACCGGUACUGACGCUGAGGUGCGAAAGCGUGGGGAGCAAACAGG
This 253-nucleotide ribosomal RNA is filed under the name uncultured bacterium. RNAcentral describes it as "partial 16S ribosomal RNA". It matches the Rfam family "Bacterial small subunit ribosomal RNA", at positions 524 to 776 of the family's 1533-position model. The record is from RNAcentral.